This 100-nucleotide transfer RNA is filed under the name Planosporangium mesophilum. RNAcentral describes it as "tRNA-Arg". Lineage: Bacteria; Bacillati; Actinomycetota; Actinomycetes; Micromonosporales; Micromonosporaceae. The record is from RNAcentral.
GCGCGGUCGAGCCGCUGGUCGAGACGGUGGCCGGGUUCGCGGCGGCCGGUGACGAGGCCACCGCGGCGUUCGCCCGGUACGACCUCGCGGCCGCGUACCA